UUUCUUGUUGGACAAUAGAUGGAAACUGUAAGAUCUAAAAAUUAGGGCUGCAUACAAAUUUUGAAUAAACAUUGUUGAGUUUGUUUUACACGCUUUUGGUGUUUAUGUUAGCUUUCUUGUUGUUGGGUCGAGUAACGGGUCAAAACAUUUUCUGACCAAAAUGGGUUCGGGUCAAAACAGGGCGUUAACCCCGCCUUUAAACAACUUAGUAUAGAGUAUGACUCAAAUUCUUCAAGAAUUACCAAUUCUAAAACAUAGAGCUAAACACCACUAAAGCUAAUGACACUUGUUACACAAGGUUGAUGUCAUUGUAAGCUUGUAAAAUGGAAGGCUUGUACACGAACAGAUUAGUCAAGCUACGUUGAGUGCGGUUCAUAGUCAGAUGGGAGCUGUUGAAACAAGCUUUGAUGAGGUGCAUAACAUAUUUGACAUUGGUGGAUCUAAAGGCUUGACUAAGUAUUCAGUGGGAAAAAAUUCCUAAAAUCGCCAUUACUUAAUGAUGUUGAUGAAUUGGGAGAACGCGUUUCUUGUUCCGUGUGCCUUCAGGAUUUUCAAGUUGGAGAAAUACUAAGGAGUUACGAAGUUUUUUCUAUGGAAUGUCUCCAUGGCAGAUUAUAAUGAUCGUUGCAGCAAGCUCAGUUGGUGCGGAGCUAUUUUACCGCGCUGCUGUUCAGGGUUUCGCUGGAGAUUUUUCAUAAUCAGCGACGGAGAUCUUCGGCGGUGACUAAUCUCUCUAGAUUCACGGCGGCGAUAGGCGGCGAUAUACACAUCUUACAGGGGAUUCAAUUGGGAUACUGAUUUCGGCGUUUGUAUACUGAUUUCGGCUACACAUGGCUUUGUCUGACUCAUCUCGUGUUGGAGUUGAACCUACGGCAUCUGAUGAUCAUCAUACAACAUUGUCUGCAUACAAUCCACAUCCCGAUUCUGGUUUUUUUGGCCCAUCUGAUGUCAAUUUCAAUCCUAUUUCUGCCGUGGGUCCAUCUGAUGUUGAUGUCAAUACCUUACCUGCAGUUAAUCCAAAUGAAAGUUGCAAUCCUGUGUUUACAACAGUUGCAAAUCGACACACCUUUCAUGGGUUUGAAAUACAGACGUUUGAUUCCAUGUUUACACCAGGCAACAUAGGCUCUGAGACUGCUAAUUUACCUGAUCAAUCAUUAUCAGUUGACACUGCAUCUACUGUUUCUCGAGGAUUUUAUCAAUGGGACGGAAGUUUCAUCUCUUUUGGACUGCAUUCGUCUGACAGCAGGACCUUUGCAUGCUCUUGAUGCUGCAACACGUCCUGCAUGGGCUGCUCCGGUUUCUGCAGUUUCUGGUGCGGCUUCAUCUAUCCCGACACUAUCAAGAGCAAAUGUUAAUGGGCAAAUGCCAAAUGGUACAAACCCAAAUGUUGGUCAUGUCUAUGGUCCCGGUACGGGUCCUGGUGGAAACCCUGGUGCAUCUGCCAUGUUAACUGCUUCUACUGUGGCUAGCGGAGGUGGCAUGGGAAUCGUUCCUAGUACUCUGUUACCGAUUGAUGUGUCGUUUGUUCUUCGUGGCCCGUAUUGGAUUCAGAUAAUAUACCGGAAAUAUUUUGCGGUUAACAUGAGGUGCUUUGCGGGUGAUCAAGUUUGGUUGCAACCUGCAACGCCACCGAAAGGCGGUCCUACAGUUGGAGGUUCUUU
RNA transcript from Helianthus annuus (common sunflower), 1661 nucleotides. RefSeq lists it as uncharacterized. The record is from RefSeq and is a predicted model, not a curated record. NCBI's taxonomy places the organism in Eukaryota, Viridiplantae, Streptophyta, Magnoliopsida, Asterales, Asteraceae. The transcript is spliced from 6 exons.